Danio rerio (zebrafish) is the source of this 354-nucleotide non-coding RNA. NCBI's taxonomy places the organism in Eukaryota, Metazoa, Chordata, Actinopteri, Cypriniformes, Danionidae. The record is from Ensembl.
UCGGCCACAGGGAUUUUUAUACACCACCUUGUGUCGGUCCCAAGCCCGGAUAAAUGAGGAGGGUCUAGAGAAGGAUGGCGGUACAUUUUAAGUCAGAUGGUGGCCGUGCACAGCCAAGAACUGAGUGACUUCCUGAAAAACAUUUUCUUUCUGGGUCUCCACAUCCUCGCUUACCCACUAAAAGAACAUCUGCAUCUGGCCUGCUGACCCUUGAUACAGCUUUUUAAUGUUAUUUGCAGGAUAACAUUGAUCAGAUUCUGAUCAGCUUAACCCUUACACACAAUAAUUAUCAAAUAUAUAGAUGUAUUAAGCACGCAGUUAUUGUUGGCAAGAUGGUUCUAGGUCAAGCCUUAC